AUACGUAGGGGGCGAGCGUUGUCCGGAAUGAUUGGGCGUAAAGGGCGCGUAGGCGGCCCGGUAAGUCUGGAGUGAAAGUCCUGUUUUUAAGAUGGGAAUUGCUUUGGAUACUGUCGGGCUUGAGUGCAGGAGAGGUAAGUGGAAUUCCCAGUGUAGCGGUGAAAUGCGUAGAGAUUGGGAGGAACACCAGUGGCGAAGGCGACUUACUGGACUGUAACUGACGCUGAGGCGCGAAAGUGUGUGGAGCAAACAGGAUUAGAUACCCUGGUAGUCCACACUGUAAACGAUGAAUGCUAGGUGUAGGGGGUAUCGACCCCUUCUGUGCCGCAGUCAACACAAUAAGCAUUCCGCCUGGGGAGUACGGCCGCAGGGUUGAAACUCAAAUGAAUUGACGGGG
This 397-nucleotide ribosomal RNA is filed under the name uncultured bacterium. Its description in RNAcentral is "partial 16S ribosomal RNA". It matches the Rfam family "Bacterial small subunit ribosomal RNA", at positions 523 to 918 of the family's 1533-position model. The record is from RNAcentral.